Papilio xuthus (Asian swallowtail) is the source of this 47-nucleotide non-coding RNA. The record is from Rfam. NCBI's taxonomy places the organism in Eukaryota, Metazoa, Arthropoda, Insecta, Lepidoptera, Papilionidae.
UAACAGGUUUUUUUUAAAACUAUAGAUUGGAAGAAAAAAGGAUGUAU